AUGACCGAAUCUGCCCACGCGGAAGGUGCGGUGCUGGGUGACUCGGUCCAGCCCAGGGAACCCCAGAUGUCUGGAGUUGAAGGCGGCUCCGUGACCCUCAGCUGUUCUUAUGAGUCUAGUUACACUGCUGGUGUCUAUCUCUACUGGUACCUUCAGUCCCCGAACCGAGCCCCGCAGUACAUCCUCCGGAGAGGAACGAAGGGAGCCAGAUCUGGCAGUGAUACCGCAGACUUCGCCCAGGAGAGGUUUUCUUCCCAGGCUGAUGGCAACUCCACAGCUCUGAGCAUCGCCGCCCUGGAGCUGGCAGACACAGCGGUGUAUUACUGCGCCCUGCAGCGGGCACAGUGA
Molecule: non-coding RNA, 348 nt
Organism: Chrysemys picta bellii (western painted turtle)
Lineage: Eukaryota; Metazoa; Chordata; Testudines; Emydidae
Source: the annotation of a RefSeq genome assembly